ACAAACUUGGUCAUUUAGAGGAAGUAAAAGUCGUAACAAGGUUUCCGUAGGUGAACCUGCGGAAGGAUCAUCAAAGGGGGAAGGGGGAGGGGUCUGAGGAUCUCUUGCCCCAACCAAUCUUGUGUGAACUGUAGCGAGCAUACGCGUGGGUGUGUUGGUGGGAAAGGGAGGAGUGUCUCUUGCCCGCCGCCAUCACGCUUGCACAACUAUCCAGUUUAUCUUGUCUAACUGUCACAAAUAACAAAUCACAACUUUUAACAAUGGAUCUCUUGGCUCUCGCAUCGAUGAAGAACGCAGC
RNAcentral lists this unclassified non-coding RNA (298 nucleotides) under uncultured fungus. Its description in RNAcentral is "partial contains small subunit ribosomal RNA, internal transcribed spacer 1, and 5.8S ribosomal RNA". The stretch from base 1 to 73 matches the Rfam family "Eukaryotic small subunit ribosomal RNA", at positions 1759 to 1831 of the family's 1831-position model. Lineage: Eukaryota; Fungi. The record is from RNAcentral.